RNAcentral lists this long non-coding RNA (605 nucleotides) under Ananas comosus (pineapple). RNAcentral describes it as "long non-coding RNA (ACOM_LNC027421)". Lineage: Eukaryota; Viridiplantae; Streptophyta; Magnoliopsida; Poales; Bromeliaceae. The record is from RNAcentral.
GGCCAAGUUGCUGAGCUGAUGUAGCUUAGGGUGUGUUUGGUUCAACGUAAAACUGCAGAAAAAAAAAUUUUGGUGAAAAAAAAAAUUUUGGUGGAAAAAUUUUUUACGUCGUUUAGUGUUUGGUUUGUAUGAAAAGAAAAAUAGUUUUUCAUGACUGUUGUUUGGUUGAAAAAAAAAAUAUUUAAUAUAUUUUUUUAUUUUAUAUAUUAUUAAUAUAUAAUUAUUCUAAUAUAUAUAUAUAUAUAAUUAUUAUAUAUUUUUUUCUCCUAUUAUAUAUACUAGUUAAGGGACCCGCGCGAUGCUGCGGGUAGUUAUUUUAAAAUUUAAUUUUAAAAAUUAGUUAUAAAAAUAAAUUUCAGAAUUUAAAUGGUGCAAUAAGUAUAUCAAAAAAUUUUAGUAGGCAUAGUAGUCGCCCAUUAGUUAGUGAAAUAAUUUUAGUAGAUAUCGUAAUCCCCCAGUAGUUAGUGAAUGAGAUAAAAAAUUAUUGUUUGUGAUUCUAGUAAUUAAUUUUCAUCAAAUAUAAAAUUAACUUAAACUGCAUCAAUUUUUUUUAUUUUUUAAUGUACAAUUUAUAUGUGAAUGCUUAAUAUUAUAAAAUUAAUAUU